GAAUCAGAAUGUCGCGGUGAAUACGUUCCCGGGCCUUGUACACACCGCCCGUCACACCAUGAGAGCUGGUAACACCCGAAGUCCGUGAGGCAACCGUAAGGAGCCAGCGGCCGAAGGUGGGAUUAGUGAUUGGGGUGAAGUCGUAACAAGGUAGCCGUAGGAGAACCUGCGGCUGGAUCACCUCCUUUCUAAGGAGA
This is a ribosomal RNA of 197 nucleotides. It matches the Rfam family "Bacterial small subunit ribosomal RNA", at positions 1346 to 1533 of the family's 1533-position model.